This is a long non-coding RNA of Monopterus albus (swamp eel), 1200 nucleotides long. RefSeq lists it as uncharacterized. The record is from RefSeq and is a predicted model, not a curated record. The transcript has 3 exons. Lineage: Eukaryota; Metazoa; Chordata; Actinopteri; Synbranchiformes; Synbranchidae.
ACCAUUGCGCCAUACAGGAAAUACAACAGCCCACCCACUGCCAUGCAGCCAAUCAGCGCAGUGUGCUCACAGACCCUCCCACCUCUCACCGAUGUCUGUUCUUCUGACCACUCAGAAGCAGCUGCAGAUAUUCACAUGGAGGAAGAGUCUCCUGUUCCAGAGAACCAGCAGAACCAGCACAACAGGGCUGAGAGCUGUAUGGAGCUAGACAGUGAUGUUGACCCUGAAACUGGAGAGAGAGCACAGGGAUGACCCCGCAUCACAACCGCCCCCCAACCCCUCAGCCUCGUGACAUACCUGUACAUCAUACCUGUACAUCUUGUAUCAACAGUCAGUUGGCCUGAUGUUUUUACCUGGGGCCUCAUUUAUCAAAGACUAUAGAAGCUCUCAAUGUGCCCGCAUACGAAUGGUCUGUAACAAGAAAGUUGGCAUUUAUCAAAGUUGUGCACAUACAGCUUCAUGCAGUGAACAAUGCUAAAUCUCACUUGUUCUAUAUCCAUCUGCUCAUGCAUGUACAGGCUCAUUUCCAAAAUACCAAUACUAAUACUCCUGUAGUGUUUUCAAUGCAGGUACAUGGGAGAGUUUCCAAUCAUGCACCAGGUUCAGUCUCAUUUUUCCAGUUUUCUAGCGCCGUUACUGGCUGUACUGUGUUCAUUUAGUAUAUGCUGAUGAUCACUCCAAGAGAACGUGGUGAGGCCGUGAGUCAUAUGGUGUGAAUCCUCAUGAGCUCCUGUAGAAAGGCCUUGUGUGAAAUUAAGUACCUUUGUCAACGCUGAAAUAGAGUAGGCUAAUGUGAAACUGCGCUUAAAUAUCUUGUCUGAAAGCCACAGUGAAGGUGGCAUUCAGCCCUGUUACUGUGUUUAGAUCACUGCCAACAUUGAACUGCAAUUUACUGCAAACAGAUUAUUCAUGGUCUACAACAUGUUUUAACAAAUACAAGCAGUGAAUGUACCUAUAAUAAUAUACAUGGAGCAUAGCAUAUUUAUUAUUAUAAAGCCAUUUUCUCUAACCAGUAACUAUGUUAAUGUGACAUUUCUCCUCUAGAGUAGAAGGGUGACACUAGUCAGGCCCCAUUGGAGUUCCUGGGUCCCCCAACACAACGCUCACCACCUUAGUUCACUCAACAGGCACAAUGUGGCCUCUGUCACUGACUGAAUGCUUGUCUGCAGUAUUUUCUGCUGCUGAUAAAAUUGCUCCACC